This 66-nucleotide transfer RNA is filed under the name Oides maculatus. Its description in RNAcentral is "tRNA-Ile". Lineage: Eukaryota; Metazoa; Arthropoda; Insecta; Coleoptera; Chrysomelidae. The record is from RNAcentral.
UGUAAAGUGCCUGAGAAAAGGAUAAUUAUGAUAGAAUUAAAUAUGUGUUCCCCCCCACCUUUACAA